GACGAGCUCUCCAAACGUUAUUCGGUAUUACUGGGCUUAAAGAGUUCGUAGGCGGCUUUGUAGGCGAGAUGUGAAAGCCCUCGGCUUAACCGAGGAACUGCGUUUCGAACCACAGGGCUUGAGGGAGAUAGGGGUAAGCGGAACAGAUGGUGGAGCGGUGAAAUGCAUUGAUAUCAUCUGGAACACCGGUGGCGAAGGCGGCUUACUGGGUCUUUUCUGACGCUGAGGAACGAAAGCUAGGGUAGCGAACGGG
RNAcentral lists this unclassified non-coding RNA (253 nucleotides) under uncultured Pirellulaceae bacterium. RNAcentral describes it as "contains 16S-23S intergenic spacer region". It matches the Rfam family "Bacterial small subunit ribosomal RNA", at positions 524 to 776 of the family's 1533-position model. Lineage: Bacteria; Pseudomonadati; Planctomycetota; Planctomycetia; Pirellulales; Pirellulaceae. The record is from RNAcentral.